RNAcentral lists this ribosomal RNA (1368 nucleotides) under Parvibaculum sp. enrichment culture clone Y036. RNAcentral describes it as "16S ribosomal RNA". It matches the Rfam family "Bacterial small subunit ribosomal RNA". The record is from RNAcentral. Lineage: Bacteria; Pseudomonadati; Pseudomonadota; Alphaproteobacteria; Hyphomicrobiales; Parvibaculaceae.
AACACGUCCCAACCUACCUAGGGGUAGCGAAUAACUCCCGGGAAACUCCAGCUAAUACGCUAUACGACCUUCGGGUGAUUGAUUUAUCCGCCCUAGAUGGGCCCGCGCAUGAUUAGCUAGUUGGUGGGCAGAAAAGCCUUGGAAGGCGAGCUCCAUAGCUGGUCUGAGAGGAUGAUCACGCACACUGGCUCUGAGACAGGGCCCAGACCUCUACGGGACGCAGCAGUGCCGAAUCUUGAGCAAUGGGCCAAACCCUGUACCAGCCAUGCCGCGUGAGUCAUGAAGGCCAAAGGGUUGUUUAGCUCUUAGCCCAGGGAAGAUAAUGACGCAACCUGGAUAAGAAGCCCCCCCUAACUCCCAGCCAGCAGCCGCGGUAAUUGCGAGGGGGUAAGCGUUGUCGGAAUUACGUGGCGUAAAGCGCACGUAGCCGGCUAUCCUAGUUGGGGGAGAAAUCCCUGGGCUUAACCCAGGAACUGCGUUCAAAACUCCAUGGCUAGGAUCCGAGAGGAGUGAGUGGUAUUUCCAGUCUAGAGGUGAAAUUCGUAGAAAUUGGAAAGUACACCAGUGGCGAAGGCGGGUCACUGGCUGCGUACUGACCGUGAGGUGCAGCAGCGUGGGGAGCAAACAGGAUUAGAUACCCUGGUAGUGGACGCCGUAUUCGAUGGGUGCUAGUUGUCAGGCAGCUUGCUGCUUGGUGACGCAGCUAACGCAUUAAGCACCCCGCCUGGGGAGUACGGUCGCAAGAUUAAAACUCAAACGAAUUGACGGGGGCCCGCACAAGCGGUGGAGCAUGUGGUUUAAUUCGAAGCAACGCGCACAACCUUACCAACCCUUGACAUCCCGGUCGCGGUUACCAGAGAUGGUUUCCUUCAGUUCGGCUGGACCGGAGACAGGUGUUGCAUGGCUGUCGUCAGCUCGUGUCGUGAGAUGUUGGGUUAAGUCCCGCAACGAGCGCAACCCUCGCCUUUAGUUGCCAUCAUUAAGUUGGGCACUCUAGAGGGACUGCCGAUGAUAAGUCGGAGGAAGGUGGGGAUGACGUCAAGUCCUCAUGGCCCUUACGGGUUGGGCUACACACGUGCUACAAUGGCGGCGACAAUGGGCAGCGAAGGGCGACCCGGUGCAAAUCCCAAAAAGCCGUCUCAGUUCGGAUUGUACUCUGCAACUCGAGUGCAUGAAGGUGGAAUCGCUAGUAAUCGCGUAACAGCAUGACGCGGUGAAUACGUUCCCGGGCCUUGUACACACCGCCCGUCACACCAUGGGAGUUGGUUUUACCCGAAGCCGGUGCGCUAACCGCAAGGAGGCAGCCGACCACGGUAAGGUCAGCGACUGGGGUGAAGUCGUAACAAGGUAGCCCUAGGGGAACCUGGG